AUUGAACGCUGGCGGCAGGCCUAACACAUGCAAGUCGAGCGGAGCGGGGGACGGGGGCGUGAUGCCUAGGACUCUGCCUGGUAGUGGGGGAUAACGUCCGGAAACGGGCGCUAAUACUGCAUACUAUCAGCUGCGCCUAGGUCGGAUUAGCUCGUUGGUGGGGUAAAGGCAGACCAAGGCGACGAUCCCUAACUGGUCUGAGAGGAUGAUCAGUCACACUGGAACUGAGACACGGUCCAGACUCCUACGGGAGGCAGCAGUGGGGAAUAUUGGACAAUGGGCGAAAGCCUGAUCCAGCCAUGCCGCGUGUGUGAAGAAGGUCUUCGGAUUGUAAAGCACUUUAAGUUGGGAGGCGUUACCCGCAGAAGAAGCACCGGCUAACUCCGUGCCAGCAGCCGCGGUAAUAC
RNAcentral lists this ribosomal RNA (407 nucleotides) under uncultured bacterium. RNAcentral's name for it is "partial 16S ribosomal RNA". It matches the Rfam family "Bacterial small subunit ribosomal RNA", at positions 30 to 526 of the family's 1533-position model. The record is from RNAcentral.